AGCAGCCGCGGUAAUUCCAGCUCCAAUAGCGUAUAUUAAAGUUGUUGCAGUUAAAAAGCUCGUAGUUGAAUUUCGGGGUCAGUAGGUUGGUCGUGCCUAUGGUAUGUACUGGCUUUACUGAUUCCUCCUUCUUGAAGAACUGUAAUGUCAUUAAUUUGGUGUUGCAGGGAAACAGGACUGUUACUUUGAAAAAAUUAGAGUGUUUAAAGCAGGCUAACGCUUGAAUACAUUAGCAUGGAAUAAUGAAAUAGGACGUUAAUCCUAUUUUGUUGGUUUCUAGGAUCGACGUAAUGAUUAAUAGGGAUAGUUGGGGGCAUUAGUAUUCAAUUGUCAGAGGUGAAAUUCUUGGAUUUAUUGAAGACUAACUACUGCGAAAGCAUUUGCCAAGGAUGUUUUCAUUAAUCAAGAACGAAAGUUAGGGGAUCGAAGACGAUCAGAUACCGUCGUAGUCUUAACCAUAAACUAUGCCGACUAGGGAUCGGAUGAUGUUAAUUCUUUAAUGACUCA
RNAcentral lists this ribosomal RNA (507 nucleotides) under uncultured Glomus. RNAcentral's name for it is "SSU rRNA". It matches the Rfam family "Eukaryotic small subunit ribosomal RNA", at positions 569 to 1078 of the family's 1831-position model. The record is from RNAcentral. Lineage: Eukaryota; Fungi; Glomeromycota; Glomeromycetes; Glomerales; Glomeraceae.